CUCUAGUCUGAGGAGACAAGACCAGCUGAGGAUCCAGCGAGGGGAAGAGUGGACAUGAAUGAAGUGGAAACAUGUUUGCAUCCUGGUGCCCCGUGGGCAGCAGAGUAACUGUCUUCCUGAAGAGGAUUAACCCAAAGCUAAACAGAAUCAAGCUGCUUCGCUGAGCAUGGAGGUCAAAGCAAGUGUCAGAUCUGGAUCUGUUAGCUUGAAGAAGCUGCACCCUAAAAAACCAAACGAAGGCCGGAGAGAUGGCACAGCCAGUAAGGGCGCUGGCCACCAACCCUGACAACCUGAGUUCAACCCCAAGAACUCUACAUGUGUGCUGUGACAUGCUUGUGUCCAUCCCCACCGGUAAAUAAAAAUAAAA
Molecule: long non-coding RNA, 367 nt
Organism: Peromyscus leucopus (white-footed mouse)
Lineage: Eukaryota; Metazoa; Chordata; Mammalia; Rodentia; Cricetidae
Exons: 3
Source: RefSeq, a predicted model, not a curated record